AUAGGAAGCGAGGCGAGGGUCCUUCAUUAAAGGGGGGAAAAGAGGGGUGGGCUUUGUUCUGGGGGGGCCGCCUUGCGCAGCUUUAGAAAGGAGAGAAUGACUUUCUGAAAUUCUCUCCAACCCUUUCUAUCUAUCUUUAGAAGUAGGGCGAGAGAAAGUCAAUAUGAUAUUUGCGUUGGUUUUUCCAACGAAACUAAGCACUUUUCUUCUUUCUCAUUCGGAAGGCUCAGUCCCACACCCUGACUUCAAUGAUGGGAACAACCUCCGCACUCCGGCGCUCCACUGAACAACAGUUCUCCGCCUUACUAUAUUUAGAAUAGUGGUCGAUCCUUCGGGAGUUACAUUCGUAACAACAUGUAAUGUUAUGUUCACG
This 373-nucleotide long non-coding RNA is filed under the name Solanum tuberosum (potato). Its description in RNAcentral is "long non-coding RNA (STUB_LNC001659)". The record is from RNAcentral. Lineage: Eukaryota; Viridiplantae; Streptophyta; Magnoliopsida; Solanales; Solanaceae.